UGACGUCAGUUGGUUACGCGCAAGAAAUGGGUGAGGAUGUACGCCGCUGUGACUCUCCGCUGGACUAUUUCAAUCACGUGAAAAGAGAAACAAGUCGGGAAUAACUAACUUGUGUCCACCUGUAAAUAAGACAAACGCCACGAGGGAUUAACAGCGAGACAAGUGUGAAUAUGAACUCAAGGUGAAGCGAUUUAUGAGAAGCUUACGGUACUGAAACCUUCGCUCGCUGACAGGAUUGAGAGAAGAGACAAGAGAGAUAUAGAAAAUAAGUACCUAGACGUAUUAACAGAACAAGUGCAUGGACGCUGAAAAGAAGAGAAGUGCGACAAAGUGGCGGGGAAACAUCUAAAGGAGAGGAAUGUGUGAUGGCAAUUAUUAUAGGCUUGUGGACCUCGUAGUCUCCCGCCAUGAACGCGAGGGGGACGUUCCUGCUCCUCCGCCUCGCCGCCCUCCUCGCCACAGGUGUUUGUCAGGGUGGGGCGGCGAGGUUCUACACAACUAACACCCUGACGGAGGUUGAGCCGCGCGUGGGGGGAGACUACGACGCGCUCCUCGACCAGGUGAGCGGGGACUUCGGCGUCAGGUCAGAGGUGCUGGAGGCGGCAGGGCAGGAGCCAGAGUACCGGGGAGCGGACACGAUGGUGGUGCCCCUGUACAUCCCUAAGGGCGCCGUGCCGAUCAAGGUGGCCCGCAUCGCUCGCUCUGACUCACGCGACCCUGUGCUGGAGGUGGUGGACCUGACCAUGUCCCCCGCGGCUGAUUCCGUCCUCAUACGAAGGAUAGGACCGGUGGACAGACAAAGGGCAGCGUCGCCACCUAACAGAGCCACCUGGAGACCCCCGCAGAGGACGAGGAUAACGAGAUUGACUCCUAUUAGACGAUCAGACUCUCCUCGUCGACGUGUUCCCUUGCCCUCUUCGUCCUCGCCCUCUCCCUCGCCCUCGUCCUCGCUCUCCUCCCCGUCCCCGCCCUUACCCCGCUCCCCGGCCCUGCAGUCUGAGUUCGGGAAAAGACUGCCUGUGUCUGAGGGCGGCCCCAUAGACACUCCAGUCCCGGACACAGACACCGCCACCAAAAGAGCGAAGAAGAAUGAGUUAAGUAAAGAUUCGCAGUUUCCUGAAGAGCUGCACACUACCACUCUUCCCACCACCACCACCACCCCAACCACCACCACUACCGCCGCCGCUUCCUCUGCAUCCACUUCCUCGCCUCCACCGCCCCCAGAUCCCAAAGGCGGAGAGAUUAAAGCCACAACUCGUAGGUUUUCCACUCAUUUAGCCUCCACCUCUACCAGUACCGCUAUCCCAUCAACUACCACUUCAUCCACCUCUACUACCACACCCACCACCACCACCAAUGCCAAGUCUCCACCACCUACCACCACCACCACUACUUCCACUACACCAUCAGCCACUGAGAAAACCACAACCACCACUACUACAGAGUCCACCGCACAGAAGACCCCUUCCUCCACCUCCUCCACUACGGAACGGCGAUCCAUUAUCUUUCCUAGACCGGUGGAGAGUGUGAUAAACGGCAGAGGGAAAAGCUUAGCAACCACCACCACCACCACAACCUCCACCACUACUACCACCACCACCACGCCCUCCACCACCACCACCAAGACAGUAACAAGUGGCCGGAGUUUCCCUGUACCUGUGAGGAACCUGCCAGCGUGGGUGAUGAGGCCCAGAACACCACCACCACCACCACCGCGACGCAUCUUCAUCACCACCACCACCAGCACCACCACCACCACGGAGAGACCACGUAGAAUUAGAGAUAAGCUAAGACGGCUGAGCAGACUUCGAGGUGGUGUUAAUAAGGAGCCUUCCACCACUACCACCACCACAACCACCACAACGGAGAGAGCCCGAACCACUACCCCGUCAACCACUACCACUACAACUGAGAGGAAGACACCGCCGACCACAACACAGCCCUCCACGACCACCAGAAGAACCUCCACCGUCAGGAAGAUGCCGAGUGUGAGUGAAAUAUUGAACUCCCGUAUUGAAGAGGAGGAGGAGGAGGAGAACCUGGAGGAGAACCUUUCUACUAGCCUGGGCCGCCCUUCAACGACCGAGGAAUACACGACGAAAACUACGACCUUGAGAACCGUUGAAACAAGAGAGAGAGAGAAGGACCAGAGCACAACGACUUUGAAAACUGUUGAGGAAAAGCAAAGAGAUAACGACAAAAGCACCACGACUUUGAGAACUGUUGAAAGGCAGCGAGAGAACGAUCAGGCCACCACGACCUUGAAAACUGUUGAAAGGCAAAGAGAGAAGGGCCAGACAACUACUUCGACCACGCAGAAGGCCCUGGAGGAGGAGAUACAGAAGACCCAACUUCGUGUGGCAACCGAAUCCUCGUCAGUAGAAAAGGUCCCUCUCUCCAACGCCAACUGGAAGUUCGUGAGACGCCCGCAACCUCCCCAGGACAGUGAAAACCCAGAGGCACUCCCAAGACCUUCAGGACCCCGUCGGCGCCGCCCUCUGAGGCCUAGAAUCAAGCUGCCACCACCCAUAACCUACCACAGAACCUCCACCACACCACCACAGGAAACCUUCGCCUCCACCUCCACCACUGCCACUACCACACAUCCUCCCCCCACCUCUACGACCACCACCACCACCACUACCACACCACUUACCACUACAAUCACAGUAACCUCAACAACCACCCCGCGUGUUGUUCUAACCACCACGACCACCACCACCACCACACCUGUCCCCACCACAGCUGCCACCACGAGAACCCCAGCGCAGGUGGUGAUAGACAGCCUGACGGAGAUCAUGAAGCAGGCCACCAACACCAGCAGGAACAAGGACCGCGUGUACAACAUCACGGCGAAGCUGGAGAGCCUCAACCGGCGACUGGCGGAGCAAGGCAUUCACAUCAUUCACGCUGAGGUGGAUGGCGAGAAGAUCAAGCUAGACAACAGGAUGAUAAUACGACCUAGACAGCCUCCAGUCACCACCUUCAGGCCCUCCACCUCCCUGCCAGCCUCCACCCUCCCGUUCCCGCGACCCUCAGCUCCCUCAUCCUCCACGUCCUUCUCCUUCUUCACGCCCUCAACAGAAGAAGACGCACAGGGCAAGCAGAUUCAGACCUCCAUCAGAUCCUCCUUCUCCUUCCACACCUCCCACUCCCCAGACACUGUGAACGAGGUGCAGACAACCACCGGAGACUCCACGCCCACCACCAACAAACCUGUAGACAUGAGGAAACCAGACGACAAGCCCUUCCUCGCCCCCUCCAGGCUCCCGACGGCGAUGGAGGGCGAAGAGCAGACCAGGAACAUCUCAGACCCAAGGAUGCCUGAGUCUCCCUCCGUCAUUAUCAGCGGCACGAGGUCUAGUUUGGACUGGGAGGGCCGGCGCGGGACCUCCACCUCUAUACUCGCCACAGCCACCGUCCCCACCACCGUCACCACCCGCACCAGGUCCACCACCGUGCCCGUCACCACACACCAGCCUGUCACCACGCCCUCUCUCCGCCUCCGCCCGACACACGAGGCAGGGAAUGAGUCUCAGUCUCCUGACGACGCCCGGCCCUCCACCACCGUCCACCCGACCUCCCACCACCGCCCAACUUUCUUCCCGCCGCCCACCGACCACAGUCACGCCGACAGAACUCCGAAUCCUACGCGCAUCCCGACCAUCAAGGUAGUGUCCAUCCUGAAGGGCGCAGAGGUCCCAGGAUCCCCCGCUACUGUAGAGGAUGUCGUAGAGGAUGACCUGCAGGUUCUAAAGGACUCGCAGGAUAUGAAUGACACCCCAAAGGCCUCUUACACCGCCAUCUACGUCAUCAGUGUCAUCGGCGUCAUCCCAGCGGCUGGGCUCGCCUUCUUCAUCGCCCGCAGGUUCCUGAAGAAGACACAGAAGGCGCUGCCGGAGAGUGAAGAGAGAGGGGAAGGGUUCACGCCCAUCACGCACCACCACUCCAGGAAAACGCAGUCCUCAGCCCACGCCCCAGCUAUGCAGGAGAGUGAUGGGCCUUCGUCAGUAGAGGCAAAGAACCCUCGCUUCACGCCCUGGGAAUUUCCUCGCUCCAAGCUUCGUAUCGCCUCCAUCCUGGGCCAGGGCAACUUCGGAGUGGUGUGGAAGGCAGAGGCGCGGGACCUGUGUGCGUGUGAAGGGUCCCAGGGCGGCCCCACGGUGCUGGUGGCGGUGAAGGGCGUGAAGGAAGGCGCCGGACAGAAGGAGAAGCAAGAUCUACUGAAGGAGCUGGCCAUCAUGCAACACCUGGGCCAUCACACUAAUGUUGUCACGCUGCUCGGGUGUUGUACUCAGCAAGAGCCUUACUACGUCAUCAUGGAGUACGUGAUGUUUGGCAAGCUGCUCACCUUCCUCCGAGACCAUCGCACCAGACAGAACUAUUACAACUUCUCUUCAGACACAGCAGCCCUCACCUCCCAAGACCUCACCCGCUUCGCCUGUCAAGUGGCCUCAGGGUGCGAGUACAUUCAGAGCCGAGGGAUUAUCCACCGAGACUUGGCUUCACGUAACGUCCUCGUCGACCACAACAAAGUCUGCAAGAUCGCUGACUUCGGGCUGGCGAGGAGUGUGAAGGACCUGGGCAGUGACAUCUAUGAGCAGAAGAGCAGGGGAGCCUUGCCUAUUAGAUGGAUGGCCCCGGAGUCUCUCUAUAUGAGCAUCUUCACCCACAAGUCCGAUGUCUGGAGCCUCGGUAUUCUCUGCUGGGAAAUCGUCACUCUAGGCUCCACCCCGUACCCCGGCAUGACUGCGCGGGAGGUGAUGCGGCGAGUGCGUGAGGGUUACCGCCUGGAGCGACCCGAGCACUGUCACCAGGAGCUGUAUCGCAUCGUUACCCGCUGCUGGCACCAAGACCUCAAUCAGCGUCCCUCCUUCACGGAAAUCAAGGAGGACCUGCAAGAACUCCUAGAGAACUCCCCGACUGGUUAUAUCGACCUUGAAAACUUCCCAGAGAGCAGUUAUUACUCCAUGCAUGAAAAUACCGAGGAGAAAUUGUAACGUUGAUGUAUUGUGGCUUGUAUUCUGAAUCGCUUCUGCUCGUAAUCCACUUCUACUUUCAAAAGGCUUUAGUUGUAGUUACAUGGGUUUUCAAGUUUGUUUUUAUGGUUCUAGUGACAGAUGGACAAGAUUUCUACAUUAUUGAUAGCAGGAACACUCGUGAGAACCUGAUUGGUCAUGGCUGUGGCCUUUGAAAAGAGUCGUGAGAGAGAGAGAGAGAGAGAGAGAGAGUGUUUCAGAAUACGAGCCACUACUAGACGCGUUACCUGAAAGGUGAUAGUCAUAUGAGUCUAUUUCUCAGUCUUUUAAAUUAUGAGUCCGUCUUAUUAUGUGUCUUGUUUAUUUUUACUUUUAGUCAUGUGUGUGUGUGUGUGUGUGUGUGUGUGUGUGUGUGUGUGUGUUGGCCUGCAGGUAUAAACUUUGUAACGAGGAAGAAAAAAAAAGAACAAGAAGGAGGUUUCGGUUACAAAUUAACUUUCGACACCUGUACUAGUAUAUUCUUAACGUAGUAGAUAUAUUACCGUGCGUCUUUUUUCUAUGGCUAAGUAUGCACAAUAUAAAAGAAAUGUCAACGAAUAGAUACACGAGCAACAAUCCCUCAUAAUUCGGGGAAAAUGCUAAUGAGCGUCAAAACUCGAUAACAAGAUUCACUAGUCUUAAAAAAUUCUUAUAAAACCGUAUCAAUAGCGUAGCAAGUAACAAAAACCCACUAAACAAUAAUUAUAGAAAACAAACAGUACUACCAAUCACAACUAUACCAAUGCUGCCAACCAUGCGGGACAAGAGAAGGCAACGGGGGUACUUAAGACUAUAGAGGAAGUAAGGUGUCACGGUGUUUACCCUGCGUGUCUGAGGCUGCAACGCCCUAACGGAGAACAACCACCGGGACACUGGCGAGAGUGCAAUAAGCCAAGUACAGGGUGAAGAAGCCAGUUAAAUAUAAGCCGGCAGUGUGAUUUAGUUGCGCGGGGGAGGCAGAGAAGCAGAAGGCAUUGGAAAAGUUGGCGGUCGCGGCAGUAGAGGCUGACUGGCUGAC
RNAcentral lists this unclassified non-coding RNA (6036 nucleotides) under Portunus trituberculatus (swimming crab). RNAcentral describes it as "mucin-2-like, transcript variant X3". The record is from RNAcentral. Lineage: Eukaryota; Metazoa; Arthropoda; Malacostraca; Decapoda; Portunidae.